This 266-nucleotide unclassified non-coding RNA is filed under the name Glomeraceae sp. RNAcentral describes it as "partial contains 5.8S ribosomal RNA and internal transcribed spacer 2". The record is from RNAcentral. Lineage: Eukaryota; Fungi; Glomeromycota; Glomeromycetes; Glomerales; Glomeraceae.
GUGAAUCAUCAAAUUUUUGAACGCAAAUUGCACUCUCCUCGGAGAGAAUGCCUGUUUGUGGGUCAGCCUAUUAAAAAUCGACAACGUUGCUGUUUCACGGUGACGCUCGUCGGAAAUUGGGUCACUCUAAACCUUUUGGGUUUAAGCGACUUACAAUUUUCUUUUUGAUUCCAUGAAUGUGUUCUUAAGAUUCAUUUCUUUACACGUUUAAGGUAUAGAUUUUUAUUAGACGCGACUAUAAUAUCGGAUCUCGUACAUAAUCUUUC